This 291-nucleotide small RNA is filed under the name Aspergillus rambellii. RNAcentral's name for it is "5' ureB small RNA". It matches the Rfam family "5' ureB small RNA". Lineage: Eukaryota; Fungi; Ascomycota; Eurotiomycetes; Eurotiales; Aspergillaceae. The record is from Rfam by way of RNAcentral.
CUGUCUGCUGAGGACAGAUGAAGUGGAUGUGCGUAUCGAAGCCUCCGGCAGUAACAAUCUUGUUCUCUCCCGCAAUGACAUCCGUAGAGGAGCCAAUAACCAUCUCUGGGUGAACACCAUCCAUUAUGUCUGGGUUUCCAGAUUUGCCAAUGCCGACAAUGACGCCAUUCCUGAUACCAAUAUCUGCUUUGUAGAUUCCAGUCCAGUCGAUAAUAAGUGCAUUCGUGAUGACGGUAUCCAGGCAGUCCUUCGAAGAUCUUGCAGAGGCUUGGCCCAUUCCCUCUCGAAUAG